GGGGAAUAUUGCACAAUGGGGGAAACCCUGAUGCAGCGACGCCGCGUGAACGAAGAAGUAUUUCGGUAUGUAAAGUUCUAUCAGCAGGGAAGAUAAUGACGGUACCUGACUAAGAAGCACCGGCUAAAUACGUGCCAGCAGCCGCGGUAAUACGUAUGGUGCAAGCGUUAUCCGGAUUUACUGGGUGUAAAGGGAGCGCAGGCGGUGCGGCAAGUCUGAUGUGAAAGCCCGGGGCUCAACCCCGGUACUGCAUUGGAACUGUUUUGCUUGAGUGCUGGAGGGGCAGGCGGAAUUCCUGGUGUAGCGGUGAAAUGCGUAGAUAUCAGGAGGAACACCGGUGGCGAAGGCGGCCUGCUGGACAGUAACUGACGCUGAGGCUCGAAAGCGUGGGGAGCAAACAGGAUUAGAUACCCUGGUAGU
This 420-nucleotide ribosomal RNA is filed under the name uncultured Roseburia sp. RNAcentral describes it as "bacterial SSU rRNA". It matches the Rfam family "Bacterial small subunit ribosomal RNA", at positions 356 to 794 of the family's 1533-position model. Lineage: Bacteria; Bacillati; Bacillota; Clostridia; Lachnospirales; Lachnospiraceae. The record is from RNAcentral.